UAAUGUGUGAAGUCUUGCUUGAGAAUGCUCCGGGCACUUGGCUGUAGAAGGAAGAAUAGAAAUUGCGAUAACAAAAUCCUAAAUAGAAUACUAACAAUGCUCUAAUUAGACUGUAAUAAUAGUAAACAAACGUAAUCAAAUUCAAAACAACUCAAAGAAAUUUCCAACAAACAAUAAAAUUCUUAAAGAAAUAUUAGAAUGAUUACAAAUUUUACUCAAAUAUAUGUUAAUUCAACCUUAAUUUAAUUCUAGUUAAAACCCUAUUCAAUUUCACUCAACUUUAGACCAAACCUAAUUAAAUCUUAAACCCUAAUAAAUCCUAAAUCCUAAGACAAAUCCUAAACAAAUCUUAAAUUAAACCCUAUUCCAAACCCUAAACCCUAAACCAAACCCUAAAUCAAACCCUUAACCAGAAUCCUAAUCCAACCCUAAACCCUAGAACCAAACCUUAAAAUCAAACCCUAACCAAACUCUACUCUAAAGUCCUAAAUCAAAACCUAACCAAACCCUAAACCCUAAUCCAAACCCUGAUCCAAUCUUAAACUCUAAUCCAAACCCUAAACCCUAAACAAAAUCUUAAAUCAAAC
Molecule: long non-coding RNA, 587 nt
Filed under: Physcomitrium patens
Lineage: Eukaryota; Viridiplantae; Streptophyta; Bryopsida; Funariales; Funariaceae
Description: long non-coding RNA (PPAT_LNC011348)
Source: RNAcentral